Molecule: ribosomal RNA, 522 nt
Filed under: Triticum aestivum (bread wheat)
Lineage: Eukaryota; Viridiplantae; Streptophyta; Magnoliopsida; Poales; Poaceae
Description: partial small subunit ribosomal RNA
Source: RNAcentral
AUGCCUGCCUCCGCGCACCGCCACUUCCUCUCUAGCGCUCUGCUAGCCUCCCACUGCCUCCUUCCACUACGGCAGCGCCUUCCCUCCCCUGCGCGCUGCUGGCAAACCACCGGCAGCAGGCUCCUCCGCCGGCCGUCGACCUUACCAGCGCCGCUGCCCAACCACCGCUCUCUGUCGACCAGGCUUCUGCGCGCGCCCUCCUCUCCCAGGCCCCCUCCCAUAGUCCCUAGCCCAUCGCUGAAUGCAUACGCUGCACCACAGGUUCCGGAUGAACUUCUUGUUGAAAGGGUGGUUGGCAGACGGCUGCAUCCUGAAACGGGGAAAAUAUACCAUCUAAAGUAUUCUCCACCUGAGAAUGAAGAAAUUGCAUCCAGGCUUACACAAAGAUUUGAUGAUACAGAAGAAAAGGUUAAGCUGAGGUCGCAGACGCAUUAUCAAAAUAUCAAGUCCUUGGUUUCGAUAUAUGAAGAUGUUAUAGUCAAGGUAAAAAGGAAAUACCACGGUGGAAGAUGUGUUAUGUGA